RNAcentral lists this ribosomal RNA (204 nucleotides) under uncultured bacterium. RNAcentral's name for it is "partial 16S ribosomal RNA". It matches the Rfam family "Bacterial small subunit ribosomal RNA", at positions 328 to 538 of the family's 1533-position model. The record is from RNAcentral.
ACGCUCGACACCUACGGGGGCAGCAGUGGGGAAUAUUGCACAAUGGGGGGAACCCUGAUGCAGCGACGCCGCGUGAGUGAAGAAGUACUUCGGUAUGUAAAGCUCUAUCAGCAGGGAAGAAAAUGACGGUACCUGACUAAGAAGCCCCGGCUAACUACGUGCCAACAGCCGCCGGUAAGUACUGAGCGGGCGUGGCGAAGGACG